RNAcentral lists this ribosomal RNA (484 nucleotides) under uncultured bacterium. RNAcentral describes it as "partial 16S ribosomal RNA". It matches the Rfam family "Bacterial small subunit ribosomal RNA", at positions 30 to 507 of the family's 1533-position model. The record is from RNAcentral.
AUUGAACGCUGGCGGCAGGCCUAACACAUGCAAGUCGAGCGGAUGAAGGGAGCUUGCUCCUGGAUUCAGCGGCGGACGGGUGAGUAAUGCCUAGGAAUCUGCCUGGUAGUGGGGGAUAACGUCCGGAAACGGGCGCUAAUACCGCAUACGUCCUGAGGGAGAAAGUGGGGGAUCUUCGGACCUCACGCUAUCAGAUGAGCCUAGGUCGGAUUAGCUAGUUGGUGGGGUAAAGGCCUGCCAAGGCGACGAUCCGUAACUGGUCUGAGAGGAUGAUCAGUCACACUGGAACUGAGACACGGUCCAGACUCCUACGGGAGGCCGCAGUGGGGAAUAUUGGACGAUGGGCGAAAGCCUGAUCCAGCCAUGCCGCGUGUGUGAAGAAGGUCUUCGGAUUGGAAAGCACUUUAAGUUGGGAGGAAGGGCAGUAAGUUAAUACCUUGCUGUUUUGACGUUACCAACAGAAUAAGCACCGGCUAACUUCGUG